This 380-nucleotide ribosomal RNA is filed under the name uncultured Phyllobacteriaceae bacterium. Its description in RNAcentral is "bacterial SSU rRNA". It matches the Rfam family "Bacterial small subunit ribosomal RNA", at positions 1002 to 1382 of the family's 1533-position model. Lineage: Bacteria; Pseudomonadati; Pseudomonadota; Alphaproteobacteria; Hyphomicrobiales; Phyllobacteriaceae. The record is from RNAcentral.
AGAGAUGGAUUCCUUCAGUUCGGCUGGAUCUUAGGCAGGUGUUGCAUGGCUGUCGUCAGCUCGUGUCGUGAGAUGUUGGGUUAAGUCCCGCAACGAGCGCAACCCUCGCCUUUAGUUGCCAUCAUUAAGUUGGGCACUCUAGAGGGACUGCCGGUGAUAAGCCGGAGGAAGGCGAGGACGACGUCAAGUCAUCAUGGCCCUUACGAGCUGGGCUACACACGUGCUACAAUGGUAAAUACAAUGGGAUGCAAUACAGCGAUGUGGAGCAAAUCCCCAAAAUUUACCUCAGUUCGGAUUGUUCUCUGCAACUCGAGAGCAUGAAGUUGGAAUCGCUAGUAAUCGUGGAUCAGAAUGCCACGGUGAAUACGUUCCCGGGUCUU